Molecule: ribosomal RNA, 377 nt
Filed under: uncultured bacterium
Lineage: Bacteria
Description: bacterial SSU rRNA
Rfam family: Bacterial small subunit ribosomal RNA
Source: RNAcentral
UAAAACGUAGGUACCGAGCGUUAUCCGGAUUUACUGGGCGUAAAGCGUGUGCAGGCGGUCGUGCAAGUCGGGCAUGAAAGCCCCUGGCUCAACUGGGGGAAGCUGUCUGAUACUGCAUGACUUGAGGGCUCGAGAGGGCGAUGGAAUUCCGCAUGUAGUGGUGAAAUGCGUAGAGAUGCGGAGGAACACCAGUGGCGAAAGCGGUCGCCUGGCGAGCCCCUGACGCUCAGACACGAAAGCUAGGGGAGCGAACGGGAUUAGAAACCCCGGUAGUCCUAGCUGUAAACGAUGUGGACUAGGCGUGCGCGGUCUCAACCCCGUGCGUGCCGCAGCUAACGCGCUAAGUCCACCGCCUGGGGACUACGGCCGCAAGGUUA